This 471-nucleotide ribosomal RNA is filed under the name uncultured bacterium. RNAcentral's name for it is "bacterial SSU rRNA". It matches the Rfam family "Bacterial small subunit ribosomal RNA", at positions 355 to 825 of the family's 1533-position model. The record is from RNAcentral.
UGGGGAAUUUUGGACAAUGGGGGCAACCCUGAUCCAGCCAUUCCGCGUGAGUGAAGAAGGCCUUCGGGUUGUAAAGCUCUUUCAGCAGGAACGAAACGGUCGGCUUUAAUAAAGUCGGCUAAUGACGGUACCUGCAGAAGAAGCACCGGCUAACUACGUGCCAGCAGCCGCGGUAAUACGUAGGGUGCGAGCGUUAAUCGGAAUUACUGGGCGUAAAGCGUGCGCAGGCGGCGACAUAAGACAGAUGUGAAAUCCCCGGGCUCAACCUGGGAACUGCGUUUGUGACUGUGUUGCUAGAGUGUAGCAGAGGGGGUGGAAUUCCACGUGUAGCAGUGAAAUGCGUAGAGAUGUGGAGGAACACCGAUGGCGAAGGCAGCCCCCUGGGCCAACACUGACGCUCAGGCACGAAAGCGUGGGGAGCAAACAGGAUUAGAUACCCAAGUAGUCCCUGAGCGGGCUGGCAAGGCGCAU